GACGAACGCUGGCGGCGCGCCUAACACAUGCAAGUCGAACGGAGAUCAUUUGGUAGAAGUUUUCGGAUGGACACCGAGUGAUCUUAGUGGCGAACGGGUGAGUAACGCGUGAGCAAUCUGCCUCAGAGUGGGGGACAACAGUUGGAAACGACUGCUAAUACCGCAUAAGCCCACAGCACCGCAUGGUGCAGGGGGAAAAGAUUUAUUGCUUUGAGAUGAGCUCGCGUCCAAUUAGCUGGUUGGUGAGGUAACGGCCCACCAAGGCGACGAUUGGUAGCCGGACUGAGAGGUUGAACGGCCACAUUGGGACUGAGAUACGGCCCAGACUCCUACGGGAGGCAGCAGUGGGGAAUAUUGGGCAAUGGACGCAAGUCUGACCCAGCAACGCCGCGUGAAGGAAGAAGGCUUUCGGGUUGUAAACUUCUUUAAGGGGGAAGAGCAGAAGACGGUACCCCUUGAAUAAGCCACGGCUAACUAACGUG
This 482-nucleotide ribosomal RNA is filed under the name uncultured bacterium. Its description in RNAcentral is "bacterial SSU rRNA". It matches the Rfam family "Bacterial small subunit ribosomal RNA", at positions 28 to 507 of the family's 1533-position model. The record is from RNAcentral.